This 253-nucleotide ribosomal RNA is filed under the name uncultured bacterium. Its description in RNAcentral is "partial 16S ribosomal RNA". It matches the Rfam family "Bacterial small subunit ribosomal RNA", at positions 524 to 776 of the family's 1533-position model. The record is from RNAcentral.
UACGUAGGUGGCAAGCGUUGUCCGGAUUUAUUGGGCGUAAAGCGAGCGCAGGCGGUUUCUUAAGUCUGAGGUGAAAGCCCCCGGCUAAACCGGGGAGGGGCCUUGGAAACUGGGGGACUUGAGUGCAAAAGAGGGGAGUGGAAUUCCAUGUGUAGCGGUGAAAUGCGUAGAUAUAUGGAGGAACACCAGUGGCGAAAGCGGCGCUCUGGGCUGUAACUGACGCUGAGGCUCGAAAGCGUGGGGAGCAAACAGG